This is a long non-coding RNA of Lotus japonicus, 420 nucleotides long. RefSeq lists it as uncharacterized. The transcript has 2 exons. NCBI's taxonomy places the organism in Eukaryota, Viridiplantae, Streptophyta, Magnoliopsida, Fabales, Fabaceae. The record is from RefSeq and is a predicted model, not a curated record.
GGUUAUAUACUAAAGGGGGCUUGACUAAGGGGAGACUUUAAAUAGCAAGUGUAGUUAAGCAUAUAAAGGACGCAUUCAAUUUCAGAGUACAAGUGAUGUCACUUCCAGACUCAUCUCAAUAUCAAUAAGAGAAGGAAUGAAUAACAAAAUGACAAUCUUGCAAGCAAUAUGAGAUGAAGAUUAUAAGAGCCAAUUAUAUAGUCAUCUUUUGAAGAGAAUACAUUCUAUUCAGCUCUAUGUAGUCCUUUUUGUAGAGUUAGGGGACUUUGAUAGGUGGUUUAUGGUGUGGAUUUUCAUGGUUAAAGGAAAUGUCAAUUCUCUUUUUCGUCCACUCUCUUAUCUAAUAGUAUGUUCUGGAUAUUUUAUGUUGCGGGUUCUAAUAUUUUACUUGCUAGAGUAAGACAUAAAUUUUCCAGUGUA